CAGACGAAAUACCCACGGGCCUUAUCAUUUGAUUGGUCGGUGGGAUUUUCGUCUG
This 55-nucleotide microRNA precursor is filed under the name Cordylochernes scorpioides. Lineage: Eukaryota; Metazoa; Arthropoda; Arachnida; Pseudoscorpiones; Chernetidae. The record is from RNAcentral.